Molecule: ribosomal RNA, 360 nt
Filed under: Triticum aestivum (bread wheat)
Lineage: Eukaryota; Viridiplantae; Streptophyta; Magnoliopsida; Poales; Poaceae
Description: partial small subunit ribosomal RNA
Source: RNAcentral
AUGAUCGUCACCGACGACGAUGACGAGCUGUUCGAGCUCGCCAUCACCUUCCUCCGCGGCGACAACGAGGACGGACAAGACCGACACGACACGCAGAGCGCUGGUGAUGGCGCCCAUGCCCUGAUGACCAACUGCCUGCUGCCAGUGAGCUCGGUCAGCAUGGCGGUGCCGGUCACGGACAGCAACAUCGUCUCAUCCUACUAUGCCUUCUCGACGUACAGCAGCUCGAGGAAGUCCGGCAUCAGCGGCGGUGGCAGGAGGAGGCUUGGGCGCGCAGCUGCUGACGGUCGCAAUUCCACUUGGGCGAGGUUUCGCCUCUCGAGCAGGGGAUUCGCAUCCGUGGGGAAUUUUCAGAGAUAG